CGCUUUUUGUAGUUAUAAAAAGUCGUACCUGCCCAGUGAAGUAAUAUAAACGGCCGCAGUAUCCUGACUGUGCUAAGGUAGCAUAAUAAUUUGCCUCUUAAUUGGUGGCUAGAAUGAAUGGUUUGACGAAGGCAUAGCUGUCUCUGAUAUAUUAUGUAUAAUUUAUCUUUUAGGUUAAAAUUCCUAAAUUUAAUUAAGGGACGAGAAGACCCUAUUGAAUUUUAAAAGAAUGUGUAAAUAAAAUUUAUUAUUAAAAUUAAUUUAUUUACAUAGUGAUUUUGGUUGGGGCAACCAAGGAAUAAUAAAAGCUUCCUAUAUAUAAAUAUAAAAACUUUUUUUGAUCCAAUGUAAUAUAUUGACAAUAGGAAUUAAUUACCAUAGGGAUAACAGCGUAAUUUUUCUUGAGAGAUCUAAUCGAAAGAGAAGUUUGCGACCUCGAUGUUGGAUUAGGAUAUUCAAAAGGUUGUAGAAGCUUUUAUGAUUAGUCUGUUCGACUAUUUAAAUCCU
Molecule: ribosomal RNA, 507 nt
Filed under: Chondrocyclus convexiusculus
Lineage: Eukaryota; Metazoa; Mollusca; Gastropoda; Architaenioglossa; Cyclophoridae
Description: partial 16S ribosomal RNA
Rfam family: Bacterial large subunit ribosomal RNA
Source: RNAcentral